This 398-nucleotide ribosomal RNA is filed under the name bacterium. RNAcentral's name for it is "partial 16S ribosomal RNA". It matches the Rfam family "Bacterial small subunit ribosomal RNA", at positions 355 to 772 of the family's 1533-position model. The record is from RNAcentral.
UGGGGAAUUUUGCACAAUGGGGGAAACCCUGAUGCAGCGACGCCGCGUGAUUUAGAAGGCCUUCGGGUUGUAAAAAUCUUUUCUAUGGGAAGAAAAUGACAGUACCAUAGGAAUAAGGACCGGCUAAUUACGUGCCAGCAGCCGCGGUAAUACGUAAGGUCCGAGCGUUGUCCGGAAUCAUUGGGCGUAAAGGGUACGUAGGCGGGUAAGCAAGUUAGAAGUGAAAUCCUAUAGCUCAACUAUAGUAAGCUUUUAAAACUGCUCAUCUUGAGGUAUGGAAGGGAAAGUGGAAUUCCUAGUGUAGCGGUGAAAUGCGCAGAUAUUAGGAGGAAUACCGGUGGCGAAGGCGACUUUCUGGCCAUAACCUGACGCUGAGGUACGAAAGCGUGGGUAGCAAA